UCCGAUCGCCUAGUGGUUAGAGCAUCCGUCUCCGAUGCGGGUGGUCACUGGUUCGAACCCCGGCCAUGUCAUAAAAA
This is a non-coding RNA of Potamilus streckersoni, 77 nucleotides long. NCBI's taxonomy places the organism in Eukaryota, Metazoa, Mollusca, Bivalvia, Unionida, Unionidae. The record is from the annotation of a GenBank genome assembly.